This 31-nucleotide non-coding RNA is filed under the name Rattus norvegicus (Norway rat). Lineage: Eukaryota; Metazoa; Chordata; Mammalia; Rodentia; Muridae. The record is from RNAcentral.
UUGCAAAUGCUUUCUAAGCAACAAGCUAAGG